UUGCGAACAAAACCCCGUUUAUWUCCAGCCCCGGAGUAUGGGUGACCCASAAGGCGUAGGCUCUCUARCUCGUUGCUGCARCACCCGGUUGUUGGGUUCGUGCACUUCUGCACGCGCCCUGCACCCUGUGUUGCCCACGAARCUCCAGGUGGGGCGUGGCGUCGGGGCUCUCCGCGUCGUGUUCCGCUUUAGCCCUGUAUAACCUGUUUGCUUACGGAAGCGCUAUCCAUACGUCGUGUCCUUUGGCUGUGGCCGGCUCCGCUUGGGCGUGAGCUCGGCUGUUGACUUCUCCGCGCGUCCCCUACAGCAGCGACGGGCUC
This 320-nucleotide unclassified non-coding RNA is filed under the name Holubia saccata. RNAcentral describes it as "partial external transcribed spacer". The record is from RNAcentral. Lineage: Eukaryota; Viridiplantae; Streptophyta; Magnoliopsida; Lamiales; Pedaliaceae.